RNAcentral lists this ribosomal RNA (257 nucleotides) under uncultured bacterium. Its description in RNAcentral is "partial 16S ribosomal RNA". It matches the Rfam family "Bacterial small subunit ribosomal RNA", at positions 524 to 772 of the family's 1533-position model. The record is from RNAcentral.
GACGUAGGGCGCGAGCGUUGUCCGGAUUUAUUGGGUACGUAAAGAGCUCGGUAGGCGGCUUGUCGCGAUUCGAAUGUGAAAUCUCAGGGCUCAAACUCUGACAUUUGCAUUCGAUACGGGCAGGCUCGAGUUCGGUAGGGGAGACUGGAAUUCCUGGUGUAGCGGUGAAAUGCGCAGAUAUCAAGGAGGAACACCGGUGGCGAAGGCGGGUCGCUGGGCGGAUACUGACGCUGAGGAGCGAAAGCGUGGGGAGCGAA